Molecule: non-coding RNA, 125 nt
Organism: Triticum aestivum (bread wheat)
Lineage: Eukaryota; Viridiplantae; Streptophyta; Magnoliopsida; Poales; Poaceae
Source: Rfam
UAAACACUCCCUCGGUCCAGGAAUACUUGUCAAUGAAAUGGAUGUAUCUAGACGUAAUUUAGUUAUAGAUACAUCCAUUUUUACCCAUUUCUCCGACAAGUAUUUUCAGACGGAGGGAGUAUAAG